GCUAACACUAGCCCAAAAAUCAAAGAUAUCAAUAUUAAAACAAUAUACAUAGACUAAAUCAUUUAUACGUAUAAAAGUAUAGGCGAUAGAAAGUUUACUUUUUGGCGCUAUAGAGAUAGUACCGCAAGGGAAAGAUGAAAAAAAGAAAUAAAGCACAAAAUAGCAAGGAUUCACCCCUGUACCUUCUGCAUAAUGAACUAAUUAGAAAUUACUUGGCAAAGAGAACUAAAGCCAAAAACCCCGAAACCAGACGAGCUACCCAAAAACAGCCAAAAGAGCACACCCGUCUAUGUAGCAAAAUAGUGGGAAGAUUUCUGGGUAGAGGUGAUAGGCCUACCGAGCCUGGUGAUAGCUGGUUAUCCAAGAUAGAAUCUUAGUUCAACCUUAAGUUUACCUGCAGAAUUAUUAAUCCCCCUGUAAACUUAAUUGUUAUUCUAAAGAGGGACAGCUCUUUAGACACUAGGAAAAAACCUUACACAGAGAGUAAAAAUUUGGCCCUCCAUAGUUGGCCCAAAAGCAGCCAUCAAUUAAGAAAGCGUUCAAGCUCAACAUUAUCUAUCCAAAAAAUUCCAAACAUAAUAAUGAACUCCUCAUACUACAUUGGAUUAAUCUAUUUUAUUAUAGAAAUAAUAAUGCUAGUAUUAGUAACAUGAAUACUUUCUCCUGCGCAUAAGUCUAAGUCAGAUCGAAAACUUCACUGACACUUAACAGCCCAAUACUAAUAAACAUAAACAAGCCAGUAUUACUAACACUGUUAAUCCAACACAGGCAUGCCCCAAGGAAAGGUUAAAAAAAGUAAAAGGAACUCGGCAAACUUAACCCCGCCUGUUUACCAAAAACAUCACCUCUAGCAUUACCAAUAUUAGAGGCACUGCCUGCCCAGUGACACAUGUUUAACGGCCGCGGUACCCUGACCGUGCAAAGGUAGCAUAAUCACUUGUUCUUUAAAUAGGGACUCGCAUGAAUGGCAACACGAGGGUUUAACUGUCUCUUACUUUUAACCAGUGAAAUUGACCUGCCCGUGAAGAGGCGGACAUAAUAUAACAAGACGAGAAGACCCUAUGGAGCUUUAAUUUACUAAUGCAACCAAAACCUAUAUAAAUCCACGGAUUCAACCCACUACCACUCCUGCAUUAAAAAUUUCGGUUGGGGUGACCUCGGAGCACAAUUAAACCUCCGAAUAAUCCAUGCUAAGACCACACAAGUCAAGGCUACCAGUAUCUAUAAUUGAUCCAAUAACUUGAUCAACGGAACAAGUUACCCUAGGGAUAACAGCGCAAUCCUAUUCCAGAGUCCAUAUCGACAAUAGGGUUUACGACCUCGAUGUUGGAUCAGGACAUCCUAAUGGUGCAGCAGCUAUCAAGGGUUCGUUUGUUCAACGAUUAAAGUCCUACGUGAUCUGAGUUCAGACCGGAGCAAUCCAGGUCGGUUUCUAUCUGUUUUACAUUUCUCCCUGUACGAAAGGACAAGAGAAAUAGGGCCCACUUCACAAAGUGCCCUCCCCCCAUAAAUGACUUAGUCUCAAUUUAACAAAAACCUCAUAAUAUGGCCCAAGAACAGGGCUU
This 1565-nucleotide ribosomal RNA is filed under the name Procolobus verus (olive colobus). RNAcentral's name for it is "16S ribosomal RNA". It matches the Rfam family "Bacterial large subunit ribosomal RNA". The record is from RNAcentral. Lineage: Eukaryota; Metazoa; Chordata; Mammalia; Primates; Cercopithecidae.